Long non-coding RNA from Acanthochromis polyacanthus (spiny chromis), 16998 nucleotides. RefSeq lists it as uncharacterized. The transcript is spliced from 2 exons. The record is from RefSeq and is a predicted model, not a curated record. Lineage: Eukaryota; Metazoa; Chordata; Actinopteri; Pomacentridae.
CAGACACCAUAAUGGAGUAAAAACUACAACAUUUCCCUUUGAACUGGAGUUGAGUGGGAAAAUGGAAAUAAUGAAACACAAGUACCUCCAAACUGUACUUGAGCAAAUGUUGGAUCCACCUCUGGUUCAGUGUUUUAGUGGUUUUCUGUGUUUCUCUCCAGGUUAAUUUUAGACCUGCAGCCCCCUCAUUCAUUUGAAGGCCAACGCUGCAGCAAAGAUGCCAACACUGCAAACUAAAUACAACAUCGCCCUGCUAACAGGCUGCUUUUAAUUAAAGCUGUAUUACCAACAUGUGAUAUUCUUUAUUUACUGGAAGAGACGCUGCUUCAUUAAGGCUCUGCUCUGUUAUUAUUUCCACACUUCGAGCUCCGGCUGACACUUUCUGCCGGCAGAUAAACAAACCCUGAACACCGGCCUGAUCUCUGCACCAGCCUCAGGCUCUGCUGAAGACCUUUACAAAGUGAAUUUAGUGGUCAAGAAACUACAAAUCCUCAACAAGAUAUAACAGAGGAAGGUUUACAAGAAGAGCAGCUGCACUGACUCCACAGUGAAUCAUCCAUCAGUAGCUGAACCAAACCAAACUAUCUCAUCAAUGGAUUAUUAUACACUGAGAAGAAAAUUUGCAAUUUAUAUGUGUUAUUUAUAGUAUAAAUAUAUGAAAACAUCAGUGAAAUGGUCGACAGAACCGUGAAUAAGCACAACAUUUCUAUUUUCACAUCAUUAUGUGAAGCACGGUGGUGGCAUCAUCAUGGUGUGGGGAUGCUUCUCUGCCACCAUAAAAUGUUUAUAAAAUAACCAUCCCAAGUAAGUAAAGUAAAACAUGUAAUUACUUUAUAUAUGUAUUUACAGAUAUACAUGCUAGCUGAGACCAUCCCCACGUCAUGAUGAUGCCACUGCCAUGCUUAAUGGUGUGUUUGGGAUGAUUAUUUUACACACUGGAACAUUACAGUUUAGUUGUUUUGACACAGUGUAGAUGUAGGAAAAUUAAUUUGUGACAUUUUAGACAAAGAAUAAAAUGCUUCGUGUCCAUUCAUGCAGUACAGUGUUAUGGCCAAAGCAGACGGUUCCUCAGAUGUCAAGUGAAAGAAUAAAAAAUAAAGUGCAGGAAGUAUAAUGUAAUUAAGGGCAGAGACAAAAGUUUCCUCAGAGUCUGUUGCAGAUAUGUGGAGCAUAAAAAGUAAAUGCUGCCUCCAGGGACGCGAAACCGAAGACAACCGGCAAUAAAUAUGCAGCUGCAACCGCCAACAAGAAUCCUCAGCGGGCUGCAAUCUUACUACCAGAGAAAUAAAGCACAGCAGCGAGUGCAACAGGCGUAAAAAAAAACGUGCAUAAAUCACCUCUCAUACAAUCAAUAUCAGAAGAGAGCCUCAACACAGCAGGUGUGCGCCACAGAACACACCUCCACACUGCUCAUUAUACCAGCUGCUUUUAUAUAUUCACCCGUUUUGUGUACAUUUUCAAUUUGCAUAUAAACAAACCUAGAGAAGAAAAGCGAAAUGUAAUAAAGUGCAACAGGAACGGACUCUGAAUAAAUGAUGAAGUUCAUGAAUUAUGUGACUGAGGCUUCCACUCCACUGAAAAAUAGAUGAAAACAUCAGAUGUGUGCAGAGCAAUGAGGAAAUUCAUCCACAUCCAUACAUGAAGCUAACUGAAAUGCCAUGUUUUCUGUUGUCUUUGUCAAUGUGGUGCCGUCUUCUCUUUCUUUGUCUUCGACUGCAGUGGUGAUGAAUCCGCUUUAGUAUUCCUACCUGAGAGUCAUGGUAUAUUGGGUAUAAAUAACGUUCCACUUCAGGCACAUUUCAAGUGUCAUAGCUAUGAAUUUUAAGGUAGGUUAAGGUCAAGGGUUAAAACGCUGCAAAUGGGAAGCAGAAAAAACACAUUAAGCGUGUUCCCUGAUAACAGACUGAUUUUUCACAUGGCAGUAAUGGACAGAAAUGAAUGCUAAUACGUGUUUUGUUUGGCUGAUUUUCUGUAAAUGGUGUUACAAUUUGCCUUAAAUUGGAAACUAUGCAAAAGUUAUUAUAUAAAUAUAGAAUUAUCAGCAGGAACCACUGUGAGCAUUUUAGGUGAUGCGUUAAAUCAUUAUUUAUGACUGCCACCACCGUGCUUCACAUCAUGAUGCUGUCAUCAUCAUGCUUCACAGUGGGGACAAUGUGUUUUUAAUGACAUGCUGUAAAGAUUGUUAAAGAUUGUUAUAUAUAUUGGAAUAUUACUAACUGGAGCAUGUGAGAUUUUUUUUACAGUGUAGAUGUACGAAAUCUAAUUUGUGAUUAGUACUUUAUCAAAAAUACACCAUCAAGUGUGGUGGUGGCAACAUCAUGUAAAGCAUGGUGGUGGCAACAUAAUGAUGUGAAGCAUGGUGGUGGCAACAUCAUGUAAAGCAUGGUGGUGGCAACAUAAUGAUGUGAAGCAUGGUGGUGGCAACAUCAUGUAAAGCAUGGUGGUGGCAGCAUAAUGAUGUGAAGCACGGUGGUGGCAGCAUCAUGAUGUGAAGCAUAGUGGUGGCAGCAUCAUGAUAUAAAGUAUGGUGGUGGCAGUAUCAUGACGUGAUGCACGGUGGUGGCAGCAUAAUGAUGUGAAGCACGGUGGUGGCAGCAUCAUGAUGUGAAGCAUGGUGGUGGCAGCAUCAUGAUGUGAAGCAUGGUGGUGGCAGCAUCAUGAUAUAAAGUAUGGUGGUGACAGUAUCAUGACGUGAAGCACGGUGGUGGCAGCAUAAUGAUGUGAAGCACGGUGGUGGCAGCAUCAUGAUGUGAAGCACAGUGGUGGCAGUAUCAUGAUGUGAAGCAUGGUGGUGGCAGCAUCAUGAUGUGAAGCACAGUGGUGGCAGUAUCAUGAUGUGAAGCACGGUGGUGGCAGCAUAAUGAUGUGAAGCACAGUGGUGGCAGCAUAAUGAUGUGAAGCAUGGUGGUGGCAGCAUCAUGAUGUGAAGCAUGGUGGUGGCAGCAUCAUGAUGUGAAGCACAGUGGUGGCAGUAUCAUGAUGUGAAGCACGGUGGUGGCAGCAUAAUGAUGUGAAGCACAGUGGUGGCAGCAUAAUGAUGUGAAGCAUGGUGGUGGCAGCAUCAUGACUCGAAACAUGGUGGUGGCAGCAUCAUGAUGUGAAGCAUGGUGGUGGCAGCAUCAUGAUGUGAAGCAUGGUGGUGGCAGCAUAAUGAUGUGAAGCAUGGUGGUGGCAGCAUCAUGACUCGAAACAUGGUGGUGGCAGCAUCAUGAUGUGAAGCAUGGUGGUGGCAGCAUAAUGAUGUGAAGCAUGGUGGUGGCAGUAUCAUGAUGUGAAGCAUGGUGGUGGCAGUAUCAUGAUGUGAAGCACAGUGGUGGCAGCAUAAUGAUGUGAAGCAUGGUGGUGGCAGUAUCAUGAUGUGAAGCAUGGUGGUGGCAGCAUCAUGACUCGAAACAUGGUGGUGGCAGCAUCAUGAUGUGAAGCUUGGCUCCUCUUGUUGUGUUUUAUGGAUCCUGACCCAGUUUUAUAGUCGAAUUUUCUCAGCUUGUUGGUUUCUUGUUUGUGUGUUUUACCAGAAAUGUGCUCGUUCCGCAGGAUUCUUCUCCCUCAGAGGCUUUUAUGAGCUGAUUCAUGCAAACGCUGCCUCAAAAUCAAAUUACCAGAAUAAAUCCACAGAUCCUGGUGCUGAAAUCAGCUCUGAGGCAGCUGGAAGCACGACAGCAGAGCAGCCACAGUUAGAAACCUGAUCUCUGCACAUAUUUAAUUAGCAACAACAGCAGGUAAUCUGUGUUUUUAUAACAGGCAGAAGGUCAUUGUUCCCAAAUCAACAAAAGACAUUUGUAGAGCAUUUUAACAAGUGAAACCUUUUUGUCACAACAGAACUCGUCUGCACAGCUUCUUAUAUCAGGACUGCAGGAGUAUUAAUUUACAAUUUAACCCUUCUGUCUUGCUUAUGUCAUUUUGUGUCUUGUUUUUGACAUUUUGUGUCUCAAUUGUGAUGUUUUAUGUCUUCUUUCUGUGGUUUUGUGUCUCGUAUUCAUUCUUGUUUGUGAAAUUUUGUGUCUCGCUUUUUUGUUUUUUGUCUCAAUUGUGAUGUUUUGCAUCUCAUUUAGUCGUUUGGUGUCUUAUUUUUGUCAUUUUGUGUCUUAUUUUUGUCGUUUUGUGUUACAUUGUUGAGAUUCUGUGUCUCGUUUGUGUCAUUUUGUGACUCAGUUGUGAUGUGUUACAUCUCAUUUUUGUCAUUUUGUGUCUCGUUCUUGUGGUUUUGUCUCGUUUUUGUUUUUGUGUCACAUUUUGUUGUUUUCUUGUCUCAUUUGUGGUGUUUUCUUCCUCAAUUGUGAUGUUUUGUGUCUAGUUUGUGUCGUUUUGUAUCCCAGUUGUGAUGUUUUACGUCUUUUUUGUUGUUUUGUGUCUUGUUUUUGUUGUUUUGCGUCUCGUUUUUGUGAUUUUCUGUCUCAUUUUUGCUUUUUGUGUCUCAUUUUUGUUGUUUUGUCUGAUUUUGUUGUUUUCUGUCUUGUAUGUAAAGUAUUGUGUCUCGUUUUUUUCGUGUUUUCAUUCUCAUAUUUGUUAUUUUGAGUCUCAUUUUCUUGUUCUGUGUUUAAAUUUUGGGAUUGUGUGUCUUGUUGUGGUUUUAUGUCUCAUUUCUGGUGUUUUGCGUCUCUGUUUUGUCAUUAUGUGGCUCAUUUGUUUUCCGUUUGUGUCAUCUUGCGUCUUGUUUUUUGGUGUUUUUAUUCUCAUUUUUGACGUUUCUUGUCAUGUUUUCAUUCUUGUUUUUGUCGUUUGGUGUCUCAUUUUAUCAAGUAAAAUGAAAAUUUCUUGAAUUUUGUAUCAACAUUUCUUAUUUUCUCUGCGUUCCCGGCUGCACUGACAACGAAAGGAUCUUUAAAUGGUGCAGAUUCUCCGGCUCAGCGUGUCGAACGGCAGCUGACAGGAUGUUAGGAUAUAAAUCGACAGAAAUGUGGAAUCUCAGCUGCCACUCGGUCAGCAGGUGAAGCUUCACAGCGACACCGAGCCCGUUGAUGCAGAAACAACAUGAAGACACUGACAGAUCUGCAGGAAAACAGGCUACAGAGAGCGAGGCGGGGGGAGACUGAACAUCUGCACACAGCUGGAGGAGUUCCAAGAAAGAGACUAGUGAGGGAGGAAACAAGACACCUAAGACUCCUCUGAAGGAGUUCCAAGCUUCAGCAGCUGAGAUGGAGAGACUGUUCAUACAACAACUAUUGACUGUUCUUCACCAGUCUCAAAAACAUUUAUUAUGUCUUCUUAUUAAUACACUAGUAUUGAGCUCUGUGUCUGAACAAAAGAACUCAAAACCAGUUCACCAGUCAAAGCUUCAUGGGAGACAAAGAGAAAGACUCUGUUGGAAAAAGACUUGUAUUAAGUCUGGACGAGAGUUCAACAGAAGACAUGUGGAGACUCUGAAGUCAGCUGGAAGAAGGUUCUUUGGUCUGAGGAGAACAAAAUGGUGCUUUUGUCAAUCAGACUGGAUGAUUUGCUUGGUGGACACCAGACACUGAACAUCCUCAUAACGACAUCAUUCUCACAGUGAGGCAUGGCGGUGGCAGCAUCAUGAUGUUUCUCAGCAGCAGGUCCUGGAAGGCUUGUAAAGGUAGAGGGUAAAAUGGAUGCAGCAAAGUCUCGAGAAAUCCUAGAGGACUGAGACUUGGAGAAGAUUUGUUUUCCAUCAAGACAAUGAGUCGAAGCAAAAAGCUGAAGCUCCACAGAAAUGGUUUAAAGACAACAAGGAGAGAGUUCUGGAGGGCGAGUCACUAAUCUGUCUGUCAGCGCUACGUUAGCUCGGUUUAUCUUGUGCAUCUUUCUAUCGAGUUUCUCUUGUUUCUCAGUCCUGUCUGCAGAACAGAACCAGAACUUGUCAGAUUUAUGAUCCUCCUGCUGCAGUUUAAUCAGAGUCCAGGUGAAGAGUGUCACCGUAGUAACCUCCUCACUGUUUCAUCAAUGCCUCCGAUCCUGUUAAUUAUUGAUGCUAACGAGUCGGUUAUUGAAAAUGUUAGCUGACUCUGAGUGUUAUUAACCUUGGUGACCUUUCAGAAAUGAGACAAUAACUGCCCAGUCUAAUUCCAUUUGCGUUAUUGUCGCCUCUACGAGCCUCCUUCCAGCUCAGCGUCCUCCAGGUUUCUCAGGUCUUCUCCUUCCUGUCUUCAGCUUCUCACCUGAACCUCACCUCAUUUCAUUCCGCUCACGUCUGCAGUCCAAGUUCUUUGAGUUCUUCGUAUCAAUCCGACACCCCAAAAAUUUAAUCGCUGCGUGAGAUCGUUCAUUAUUCAGGACGCUCUUCAUUAAUUCACACCCACGCCUUGUUUUUCCAGAACUCCUUACAUCCAGAGACAUUUAAAGCUAGUUUACUUUCUACCCAUGUGUGCAUCAGAUUAAUAGAUUCCUACAUUACUGGAAGCAUCAGCACGGCAGAGUUUCAAACGAGAUAAAAGUCUUUAGAAACAUGACCUUGAUUGUGUUGUUCAUUCUCAGAGGCUUGGACAGUCAAUCUGCAGAGCCUCUUUGUCAUUGUUUUUUAUCUCUUUAUGCUUGCUUUUGUCUCAGUGGUUGUUUUUUGUGUCUUUGUGGUUGUUUUUCGUCUAUUUUGGGGUUUUUUGUUUCUCUGUGGGUUUUUUUUUUGUCUUUUUAUGGUUGUUUGUCUAUUUUUGGUUGUUUUUUGUCUGUUUAUGAUUGUUUUUUGUCUGUUUAUGGAUGUUUUUUUGUCUCUUUAUGGCUGUUUUUGUCAUUUUGUGGUUGUUUUUUUGCCUCUCUGUGAAUGUUUGUCAUCUGUUUUUGUUUUUUUUGACUCUUUAUGAUUGUUUUUUGUCUGUUUAUGAUAGUUUUUUGUCUCUUUAUGGUUUUUCUUGUCUCUUUGUGGUUGCUUUUUGUAUCUUUAUGGUUACUUUGUUUAUAGUUGUUUUUGUUGUCUUUGUAUAGUUGUUAUGUGUCUCUUUGUGGUUGUUUUUCAUCUAUUUUUGAUAGCUUCUUGCCUCUUAGUGGUUGCUUUUUGCCUUUUUGUAGUUGUUUUUGCCUCUUUGUGGCUGUUUGUUAUCUGUAUUUGGUUGUUUUUUGUAUCUUUAUGGUUGUUUUUGUGUUUUUGUGGUUGUUUUUUGUCUCUAUGACUAUUUUUCAUCUAUUUUUGGUUGUUUUUUUGUCUCUUUGUGGUUGCUUUUUGCCUCUUUGUGAUUGUUUUUCAUCUAUUUUUGGUUGUUUUUUGUGUCUGUGGUUGUUUAUUUGCCUCUUUACGGUUAUAUCUUUGCCUUUUUGUGAUUGUUUUUGCUUCUGUGUGGUUAUUUUUUGUCUCUUUAUGGUUGUUGUUUUGUGUCUUUGAAGUUGUUUUUCAUCUAUUUUGGCAAUUUUAUUGUCUGUAGUAGUUUUUCGCCUCUUUACAGUUGUUUUUUUUAUUUCUUUAUGGCUGUUUUUUUAUCUCUUUUUGGUGGUUCUUUGUCUUUUUGUGGUUGUUUUUGUUUCUUUGUGGUUGUUUUUUGUCUCUUUAUGGCUGUUUUUUAUAUAUUUUUGGUUGUUUUGUCUCUUUAUAGCGUUUUUUUGUCUAUUUUUGGUUGUUUUUGUCUUGUUAUGGCCAUUUUCAUCUAUUUUUGGUUGUUUUGAAUUUGACUCUGUGGUCAUCUGAUUGUAAUGUUGACAGUCACACACUGGCCCUUGGCUCUCUGGGCUCCUGAUAUGCUAAAUAGAAUCAGUAAGGAUGUUUAAUCUCUGCUGCUGAUGAUCAGACGAACUUUAAUUAUCCUCCUGGUGGUUUUCCCAGGUGUGUAGCUGUGUGUCAGUGUUGUGUACAGGAAGUGAAGCGGAGGUGGUCCAGAGAUAGAACCCUGGUCCACUUUGAAGGGUUCUGGUUCCCUGUGAGCCUCAUUAUUUCUGCUUCAGGCUCUUUGUUCCUCUGAGACACUGCAGCAGCUUCUAACGAUCCGAUUGCGUUUUAUUUGAAUUUAUUCACAGCUUCCUGUUAGAACGCAACGAAUCAGAGCAGCUGAAUGAAAAAUGAUUUUAAUGAUCAACCUGCUGAUUGCAGCAAAAUCAAUCACUGCCAGUUAAGUGUUGAACACAGCAGCAGGAUAUAGAGGCUUAAUAUGGAUUUAACGAAGAGGAGGAGCCUUUAAUGUGUUCAGCUUCUGAGAUAUGUUGUAAAAUAUGUGCGUUUUCAACUGUUUGCAGAAGCAGUUUUUAUAAUCUAUUAUUUUCACAGUUACAUCAACUUAAAUUAAUGCAGAAAAUGCCAAAAACACAGAUAAUAACUCAUCAAAACAUAAAAAAAUGGGAGAAAUAAUGAACCAAAAGAUCAAAAAUCUUGACAUUGACAAACUACUGUAGAAAUAACAUGUAUAUUAAAGUAUCAAGUAUUGAAAAUCUGGAUAUUGAGACAUCAAAAUAUAAAAAAUGGAAACUGACACACCAAAACAUCAGACACCCGGAUAUGAAUGCAACAAAAUUUGAAGAGCCAUGACUUUUUUAAAACAUAGCAUAAAUAAUUUGUAUAUUGGUAUCCCAAAGAGUCAAAAAUCUUGGAUAUUAUUGUACAAAAAGAUUAAAAUAUAGAUAUUAACAAACCAAAACGAUAAAAACCUCGAUACUCAUGCACCAAAACACCAAAAAUUAUUAUUAUUAAUGCAACAAACACCAAAAACCUAGAUAAUAAUGCACCAAAACACCAUAAACCUGGACAUUAAUACAGCAAAACUUUAAAAAUCUGUAUAUCAAUGCACUAAAAUACUAAAAACUUAUAUAUUAAUACACCAAAACAUUAAAAACCUGGACAUUAAUACAGCAAAACACCAAAAACCUGGAUAUUAAUUUUCCAAACGCCUAAUCCUUACAUAUUAAUGUAACAGACGUCUAAAUCCUGAACACCACAGUUCCUCCUGUUGGGAUUUUCUAUUAAAACAGCAGCAGGGUCUUUGUGCAGCAGGAAGGAUUCACACAUUUUAUUCACACGAGGGUUAAAAUGUAAAACCCACAUUAGUAUCACAUUAGCUGUGGCUUCGUGAAAACAGGAUUAAAGGCUGUGAGAGGACGAGGAAAAUAUUAGAAAAAGACAAAGUGAGGCAGCAGCUCGGAGCAGCGACUAACUGAAUCACUGGAGGUGAGAAAUCAGAAAUCAGAGUCGCUGAGACAUGAAGGAGGCACAUUUAUAAUGAGGAGAGUAAAUCUAAUAGCUCACCAUUAGAAACAUCCAUCUGCAAAUCAAUGAGCGCGAUCAAUCAGAGAAGAAAACUGAACGUGUAUCUGAGCUCUAAAUGUCAACAUCAGGGAGAAACAGCAGCUGCUAAAUGGUUCACCUGAAAGAAACCUUCUGAUGCUACAAUAGAUGAUUAAGGACUUUAGUUUUUACAGUUAAAAUGGAGAACAUGGAAAAUAAAACUGGCGAAACAUGUGAAUCAAAAAGACAUGCAAAGCUAAGACAAAAAAAAUGCUAAAAUCAAGACAAGAUGAGACAAGACAAGCUAAGGUAACGCAAAACAAAAUAAGACAUGCUAAUCUAAGCCAAAAUAAAACAAGAUUAGACAUGCUAACCUAAGCUAAAACAAAACAAGAUUAGACAUGCUAACCUAAGCUAAACAAAGCAAGAUAAUACAUGCUAACCCAGACUAAACAAAACAAGACAAAACAAGCUAAUCUAGGCUAAAAGAAGACAAGAUAAUAUAUGCUACCUAAGCUAAAACAAAACAAGAAUAGGCAUGCUAAUCUAAGCUAAAGCAAAACAAGACAAGUCAUGCUAACUUAAGCUACAGCAAAAAAUAAAAUAAGACAUGCUAACUUAAGCUAAAGCAAAACACAGUAAGAUAUGCUAAGCUAUACAAGAUAAAGCAUGCUAAGCUACACAAGCUGAAGCAAGAUAAGACAUGCUACAUCAAGACAAGUCAGGGAAAAGUGAGAUAAGACAAGAGAUGCUAAGCUAAGCUAGGACAGGCCAAGUAAAGAUGAGAGAAGGCAUAUUAAGCUAAUAAUCUUAAGUUAGUUAAAACAAAACAAGAUAAGACAUGCUAACCUAAGCUAAAAUAAACCAAGACAAGACAUGCUCACCUAAGCUGCACAAGAUAAUGUAGACAUGCUAAGCUAAGACAAGACAUAUUAAGCUAAGACAAAGCAAGAUAUGCUGAGGUAGGGUAAGACCAACAAAAACAAGACAAGAAAAGUUACACUAAAAUAAGACAAGCUAGGACAAGACCAAAUAAGACAAGCUAAGCAAAGCUAGACAAUAUAAGACAUGCUAAGCUAAGGUAGGCAAAACAAGACAAGCUAGAUGAAACAAGAUAAGACAUGCUAAAUAAAACUACAAGGCAACACUAAACAAGCUAAGACGCAAUGAAACCUUUAAGCUUUGUGUUGUGUUUUUGUGGGCUAAUAUCCAGAUUUUUGGUGCUAUCUUGUGUUAAUUUUUGUUUUUAACAUAAACAUACUAGUGGAGGAAAUCUGGUGUGGAGGUUUUAGACGUCUGGUCCAAGAGGGGCCUCGACUUCUUCCUUUAAAGUCACAUUAGAGCUGAUAAUGAGCAUCUCAGGGGAAAACUGAGCAAAUAUUAGCCAGUGAAUCCUUCACAUGUUCUGAUGGUUGUCAUUAGCAGCAGUAAUGGAUUCAGGACUGAUUUGUAAUUUCAUCCCUCUGAUCCAAACCACUCAUGAAGCAUUUAAUUUGUCCCUUUCAAACUGUUAUUCUGGUUUUAUGUAAGAUUUUGUGAAAGUUGCCGAAUUACUAUGUUGUCUUCCAAGUAUCACCCUUUUAACUGUCCAGAUAUAAUUAGACAUUGAUGAUUUAAUUUGAUAUUCUGAUGCACUGAUAUCUUUUUUUUCAUGUUUUGGCCCAUUAUUAUCCAGGUUUUUGACAAUUUAGUGCAUGAAUAUCCAAGUUUUUGAUGUUUAGUGCGGUAAUAUCCAGGUUUUUGAUGUUUUGGUAUAUUGAUAUCCAGUCUUUUGCCAUUUCACUGCUUUAAUAUUCAGGUUUUUGCCAUUUUUGGUGCUUUAAUAUUCAGGUUUAGGAUGUCUAACUGCUAUAAUAUCCAGGGUUUUUUUUUUACAUUUUUGUGCUUUAAUAUUCAAAUUUUGGACAUUUUUGUGCUUUAUUAUCAAAGUUUUUCAUGUUUUGGUAAUAUCCAGGUUCUUGACAUUUUGAUGCUUUCAUAUCCAGGUUUUGGAUAUUGGUGCUGUAAUAUUACGAUUUUUUUUUACGUUUUCAUGCUUUAGUAUCCAAAUAUUUGAAGUUUUUGUGCAUUAAUGUCCAGGUUGUGGAUAUUUUAGUGCUUUAGUUUCCAGGUUUUGGAUGUUGUGGACAAUCAAUAUUUAUGUUUUUGACAUUCUGGUGUCGAGACAUGCAGGUGUUUUGUUUUACAGUGCUAAUAUCCAUUUUUUCUUAAUGUUCUUGUAUGUCAAUAUUCUGAUUUUUGACAUUUUGGUGCUUUAAUAUCCAGAGUAUUGCCAUUUUGUUCCACAAAAAACAUUUGUUUUUGGAAUUUUGGUGCAUCAAUAUUCACAGUUUUGAUGUUUUGGUGUGUUAAUAUCGAGAUAUACAAUGUUUUCAUGCAUCGGUAUUGAGGGUUUUGACAUUUUGGUGUCAGCAUUCAGAGUUUUGGUGUUUUGGUGAGUCAACGUGCAGGUUCCAUGAUCCGGUCAUCAAAUUUUAAAGGGUUUAUAAUAACACAGUUCAGUGUAUUAAACUCGUGUAGUGUUGGAAAGGUAAAAAAUAUUUUUUAAAAGAAAUAAACAAAACACUUCAAAGGAAAAUCAUAAUGCAAUUCCCCAGUUAAAGUGUUUUUUAAUUGGACGGCUGAGUUGUUGAACUUCAUCGAUGUUGCAGCUGAGAGUCUUUAGAUCAGGUUCAGUAACGUUAGCGUCGCUGGAUCGUUGUCUUCAGAUUUUAUUCAACUUUUAGUGGAAUUCUGCAGCUUGCUUCAUUCUCUGAAGGUCGUUCAGUUUGCCCUCUCAGCUCUGAGCUGCUGCUGACUGGAUUUAGGUGUUCUUUUUUUUUUUUAGGUGGAAGUUUUAAAAAUAGCCUAAAGCUGAAAGUGUUCAGUUGAGGUGUCAGAAACAUACAUCCGGAAAAGCUAUUUUCGUCCAGUAAUAUCCAAGUUUGUGACGUAUGUAUGUAAUGUAUUUACAGUGCGGUGCAGUAAAAAUCCAGUUUUUGUAAUUUCAGUGCAUAGAUAUAAAGGUUUUAGAUAUCUCCGUGCAUCAAUAUCUAUAUUUUACAAAACAUUUUAGAGUGUUAAUAACCAGGAAUCUGACAUUUUGGUGGAUCAGUAUCCAUAUCUUAACAUUUUGGUGCAUCAAGUCUUAGCCUUUGACAUUUUGGCGCAUCUAUAUCCAUAUUUUUGAUGCUUCAGUGCCUCAGUAUUGAAGUUUUUCCCAUUUUGGUGCAUUAAAACCUAGCAUUUUUACAUUUAUGCGUGUUUGUAUAGAGAGUUCAGAUACUCUGAUACAUUUUGAUGAGUUAAAAUCCAGAUUUUUUUUAACAUUACAUCCACAUUUUUAGUAUUUUGGUGCGUCAGUAUUCAGCUUUUUGUCCCUCUAAGUUUACAUUUCUUCAUAUUCCUGUUGUCUGUUCUCUAUGUCUGAGCUGUAUCUGCCUCCAUCCGUCAGGCUUCCACUCAUGUUCCCGUAGUCUCUGUCGAGAGCAAUAUCUGCAGGCCGAUCUUCCUCACACACUGUUUAUGUUGACUUUAAUAAACCCUCAGAUCUGAUAUGUUGGCAGUAGCAUGAGGUGUGAUGUGAACAGUUUGUCUGAACAGACUCCUGAUCUCCUCAUCGCAGAGCUUCAUUGAUUUUGUAUUUAAAGCUUCCUGCUGCGGCCUUUGAGCAGCUUCUACAUGCUGCAACAAACCUCGAAGACGACUGAAAGAACACAAAGUCAGUGUCCGGACUUUAAAUGAAGCUUCAUAUGUGAUGAUUUUAAAUUUUCUUACUCAAGGGAAAGCCACAUAAACAAGACAAAUGUAGAAGCUCAAAGGUUAGAGGUGUAGUCAGAUCCAGAUUUUUGAUGUUUUGUUGCUUUAAUAUUUUGGUUUUGGGUGUUUUGAUGCAUUAAUAUCUAUUUUUUGUGGUUUGUUGCAUUAAUAUCCAGGUUUUGGGUGUUUUGGUGCAUCAAUAUCCAUAUUGUGAUUUUUUUGGUACAUCAAUAUCAAGGUUUUUCAGUGUUUUGUUGUAUUAAUAUGUAUUUUCUGUGUGUUUUGGUGCAUCAAUAUCCAGUUUUUUGAUAUUUUGGUGCAUUGAUAUUCUGGUUUUUAGGGUUUUGUUACAUUAAUAUCCAGGUUUUUUAGGUUUUGGUGCAUGAAUAUUCUAGUUUUUGGGUGUUUUGGUGCAUUAAAAUCCAUAUUUUGAUGUUGUGGUGCAUCAAUAUCCAGGUUUUUUAGUGUUUUGGUGUAUUAAUAUGCAGGUUUUUGGUGUUUUGAUACAUUGAUAUCCAAGUUUCUGAUGUUUUGGUGCAUUAAUAUAAAGGUUUUUGGUGUUUUGAUGCAUUAAUAUCCAUUUUUUGUGUUUUGCUGCAUUGAUGUCCAAGUUGUUGAUGUUUUCGUUAGUUACUAUCCUGUUUUUUUGUGUUUUGGUGCAUUAUUAUCAAAAUUUUUGAUGUUUUGGUGUAUUAAUAUUCUGGUUUUUGGUGUUUUUGAUGCAUUAAUAUCCCAGUUUUUUGUGUUUUAGUGCAUUUAUAUCCCAGUUUUUGUGUUUUGGUGCAUUUAUGUCGAAGUUUUUGAUAUUUUGGUGCAUUGAUAUUCUGGUUUUUAGUAUUUUGGUGCAUUAAUAUCCAAGUUUAGGAUGUUUUGGUUCAUUAAAAUACAGAUUUUGAUACUUUGGUGCAUCAGCAGCCAGAACUUUGGUGAUUUAGUGUGUUAAAAUCCAUGUUUUUGACAUUUUAACGCUUUGGUAUUCAUGUUUUUGAUGUUUUAGUGUAUCACUGCUGGGUUUUUUGGUGUUUUGGUACAUAAAUAUUCUGGAUCACAGAGGUUCGUUCUCAGAUCAUUCCUUCAUUGUACUGUACGUGUGGCAUUUAUGUGAUUUUUAGUGUCAUCAUUUACGGAAAUUCUCAGCAGGUUUUGCGGAGUUGCGGUUUGAUAAAAAAGAACACAGGAGAUCUGCAGGUGACUGCAGUUUUAUUGGAUGUCAGCAUUUGAUAAAUGACAAGAGGAAGCAUGCUGGGAUGUGCAGUCUGUCACGGGAAAUGUGAGAGCAGGAUGGGGGUAAAUAUGAUCUUGUUGCAGCAACAAAGAGAAAUAACGUUCAGUUAUCAGUGGAUAAUACACAUAAAUACUCAUGUACAUGUUUAUGGACGCAUAAUAUUCCAGUUUUAAGUGAAUAAAUGUGUUCAUGAGGUGAAAACAUUCUUCCCUUCAUGAGCACAUUUUUUAAACUUUACAGCGGAAACAAGUGACUCUCAGACUAACACUCUCCAGCACAUCAUCUCAGUCUCGUAACAAAUCAUCUCUUCCUCUUUUGACAAUCCUCCGGAGCAGUUGCUAGGCAACCAGGGGGUUUCUAAAAGCAGAGGUAUCUCCUCUCUGAGCUGCUCAAUGGUGAAGCUUCUUAUGUAACGUCUCUAUUAAUAUUCCUGAUCCCUGUUUUAACACCGGAGCCAAAUCUUGCAGCUGGAGGGACCCUGAACGCCUCCUUCCUGUUUAACCGCCCCUGAACGCACCACGUGACCCGAUCAAUAACUGGUUCAUCUGUUUGAUCAGCGGGAUGAAGAUCAGAGUGACGCUGAUCCUCCGAACAGCUCUGACACAACCGAUGAGAUGCUAUGUCUUUAUCAAAAGGAUUCCUGUAGAAGAAAUCCAUGAGAUGUGGCCGAAAGCUGCGGAGCAAACGAAAAAAAAAAACCCAAAACAAAUAAAGAUGCAAAAAUUACACAAGAACAAAAAAACGGACAAAGAUGCAAAAAUAAAAGACAAAAUCAAAGUGAAAAUGCACAAAAAGCUGCAAAAACAGAAAUGAAAAAUGAAACAGAGACAAAAAUAACAGGCAAAAUGGACAGAAAAGGAUUUUAAAAAGACACCAAUUGACUAUAAGAUGCAAAAAUGACACAAAAAGAAGAAAAAAAGACAGACAGAUACAAAAAUAAAAACUAAAUUGAUGUGAAAACAGGCAAAAAUGACAAAAACAGGAUGGUAAAAAUCAGGAAUUAGUCUUGGUAACUGAAACUUAGAGUGCAGUUAGUUAGACAAUAAGAACCAUAGAAAGACAUAAAAGUACCUUCAGUCAUGUUGCUCAUAUUACAGGUGAUCUGUGAACAGGAUGAAGCAUCACAGGGGAAUAAAUAAAGGUGGAAUUUACACUCUAAGUGAAGAUAGCAUGUCCUAGAAAAACAGUGGCAUUUUAUUUACAUCAUAAAAUAAAAUAAUCUAAAAUAUUGUACUUGGAUGUUAAAGACAUCAACUGACUAAAAGAUUCCAAAAUGACACAUAAGAUAUAAAAAAUCAUGUAGAAUAGACAAAUUUAGAUGAAAUAUCACAGUUUAAAACUCAAGAUUUGGUUAAUGGAAGAGGUGAUGCGUUCAAGGACCGUCAGAAAGUUGAAAAUCUUUCUGUUUUAUCAUUUCUGGCUCGUAAAUGAUGAUAUUUUUUGUUUGUCUUUUAAAGACAACAAGACUUUCAAACCCAGCAGGUUUAGAAAUGUAAAUAAACUGAGCUGAACAUCAACCUUUUCAUUUAGAUUCAGCUGCUGUUAAACCAAACUGUACAUCCAAAUAAAAACUGAAAAUUAAAACACAAAAACGCAGAUUCAUUUUUAUCUCCUCCAACACGGAGUUCCAUAAGAAGCCCUGUAGUUCUUUCAGCUAAAGUUCAGAGUCUCUGUUAAUCUGCAGCUCAAACUGACUUAGAGAAAACUUCAGUGUCGCUGCCACCUGCUGGAGACCCACAGAACAGACACGAGUAAGAGGAGACAAAACUCGGCUCUAGUAUGAGUUUAUCAUCAUCUAUUUAGAGAAUUAAAAACUAAUAAUACAAAAUAUACAGAGUAAUGUGGAUCACAUAGCAUGACAAAUAAAAACAAAGCUUCCAUAUCACAGUGUCAAUCUGGAACAGAAGUUUAAAUUUGUUCAAGUUUUUAACAGUUUAUGGAAAAAAAACUAGCCGAUUGGCACAAAUUAACCCUCAUUUAGUCUAUUUUACUUCAAAGUCACUCUACUAGUCUCUUAAAUGUGAAUAUUUGCUGUAGAUGAAUAGGAUGUGGUCAUUUCGUCUUAUUCUGGUUAGAAAUCUGCUGAUUCUGGAGGCAUUUUUCUGUUUUUUUAGCUCCUAAGCCUGCUGUGUUACACCAUCAACGAUCAUUUUGUUCCUUAACAACAACGGUAGAUGUUUUGGAGUUCCUCCACUACAACAAAUAUGCAGCUUUUAUUCUUGAUUUUUAUUUAUCAGGAAAUCUGUAGUUUUUGAUGGUCAGUUGCUAAAGCUGGAUUACUGGACCCAGUGAGAUUUCAUUUAUGGCUUUAUUUGAUUACAUCUGACUCUUAAAUGUAAAUUAAUGUUUUUUAUGUAUACAGGAAUAAACACAGAAGAGCUUGGUUAAAGUCGUAUCAAUACAUCUGACUUUUAAUAAUCGAUUGUUUGCUGAUUAAUGAGUCCCUGAAGCCUUUAAAAAUACAAAAAAAAUGCUACUGGAAAAGCUGGUUUUGAGGUAAAAUAGACUAAAUGAGGAUCAGUUAAUUAAUUAAUGAGCCAGCAGGAUAAAAAUCAAACUAUAGUGUCAACAGGGGUUACAGAGGGAAUCUGUGAUCAACAUUUUCAUGAUUUGUUGGAUUUAUCAGCUAAAAGUAGAGUUUACUACACAAUAUUCUUGUAAUUCAGUGUUUUUCUGACAGAGCAGAAGUAAAAACAACCAGACUGGAGUCAUUUAAAAGCAUUUUAUUAGUAAGAAUCCAUGUUAAACCACAGGAGCUGCUUCCAGCUCAGUCUCAGUGCACCGUCCUGGUCGGACAGGUGAUCUCCAUACAGGUGAGGCUUCUCAUCACCGAGGCGACGCUGCAGCAGCUGGAUGUUCGGGCCUCGUCGGGUUCAAACUCGCCGUCGGAGCUCAAAGUCACUCCUCGAUCUGUCGCCAAAGGAGGCCGAGGUCGAAGUCCGGA